This 770-nucleotide ribosomal RNA is filed under the name uncultured Neocallimastigales. RNAcentral describes it as "partial large subunit ribosomal RNA". It matches the Rfam family "Eukaryotic large subunit ribosomal RNA", at positions 24 to 635 of the family's 3401-position model. The record is from RNAcentral. Lineage: Eukaryota; Fungi; Neocallimastigomycota; Neocallimastigomycetes; Neocallimastigales.
GUAGUCUCGCACAGAUGCAUAUCAAUAAGCGGAGGAAAAGAAACUAACAAGGAUUCCCUCAGUAACGGCGAGUGAAGCGGGAAGAGCUCAAAUCUGAAAUCUUGAAAGGUCACCUUUCACGAAUUGUAGUUUAAAGAAGUGUUUUCUGUUACGAUCGUAAUAUAAGUUCUUUGGAAUAGGACAUCACAGAGGGUGAGAAUCCGUCUAUGAUUGCGAUUUGUAGCUUUGUGAUACACUUUCAAAGAGUCGGGUUGUUUGGGAAUGCAGCCCAAAACGGGAGGUAAAUUUCUUCUAAGGCUAAAUAUUGGCGAGAGACCGAUAGCGAACAAGUACCGUGAGGGAAAGAUGAAAAGAACUUUGAAAAGAGAGUUAAAUAGUACGUGAAAUUGUCAAAAGGGAAGCGUUUAACACCAGUGUUGUUUUCUGAAAAUCAACCUCUGUUAGCUUUAUGCAUGUUUGUUUAGACCUAAUCAGCUAUCUUGCAUGUUCUAUUGUUUGCAGUGGUGCACUUUUCAGUUUACAGGUCAACAUCAGUUUUUUUUACCGUAAAAAAGUUAAAGAAAGGUAGCUCAUGGCUCCGGUCGUGAGUGUUAUAGUCUUUUUCCUAUGCGGUAGGAGAGACUGAGGUCUGCAGUGUAGGCUAUUUGGCUAGAUACUCAGGUGCUAUGUGAUACCAUUUCAUAAACAACUUGUUGAUUAUGUUUUGUCUAUUGCAUACUCGCUUGUACUAUCAUACCUACGCUUAGGAUGUUGAAGAUGUAGCACAUCAU